CCUACGGGUGGCAGCAGUGGGGAAUAUUGGGCAAUGGGCGCAAGCCUGACCCAGCAACGCCGCGUGAAGGAAGAAGGCUUUCGGGUUGUAAACUUCUUUUCUGAGGGACGAAGAACGUGACGGUCCCUCAGGACUACGCCACGGCUAACUACGUGCCAGCCGCCGCGGUAAUACGUAGGUGGCAAGCGUUAUCCGGAUUUAUUGGGUGUAAAGGGCGUGUAGGCGGGAAAGCAAGUCAGAUGUGAAAGCUCAGGGCUCAACCCUGGGCCUGCAUUUGAAACUGUUGGUCUUGAGUGCGGGAGAGGCAAUCGGAAUUCCGGGUGUAGCGGUGAAAUGCGUAGAUAUACGGAGGAACACCAGUGGCGAAGGCGGAUUGCUGGACAGUAACUGACGCUGAGGCGCGAAAGCGUGGGGAGCAAACAGGAUUAGAUACCCCAGUAGUC
Molecule: ribosomal RNA, 443 nt
Filed under: uncultured bacterium
Lineage: Bacteria
Description: partial 16S ribosomal RNA
Rfam family: Bacterial small subunit ribosomal RNA
Source: RNAcentral